This is an RNA transcript of Oryza sativa Japonica Group (Japanese rice), 2586 nucleotides long. It is a transcript of the gene named dolichol kinase EVAN-like, with no coding region annotated. Lineage: Eukaryota; Viridiplantae; Streptophyta; Magnoliopsida; Poales; Poaceae. The record is from RefSeq and is a predicted model, not a curated record.
GCUUGACGCCACGCAAGAGGACCAGGUCAGGUCCGGUGCGCGUGCGUGCACGGUGCACCACACCCACACCCGUGUCGGACGCGGCGGCUCAACCGCUUUGACCCACCACCCGCGUCUGGUUUAUGCGGGCCCCACCUGUCAGUCAGAACCACCAAGGCCCGUCCGGUUCGCGCCGCGCUCCCUUCGUUCGUGCGCUUCCUCGGUCGCCGGCGAUGGCGAUGGCGCCGGCGGUGGUCUCGGGCGAGAGGCUCGUCGUGUUCCUCUUCGUCGCCCGCGUCGCGCUCGCGGCGCCGGCCCAGCUCGCCGCCCCGCUCGCAGUCCUUGCCGCGGCCGCCCUCGCCGUCGAGCUCGCCGUGGAUGCCUCCGCCUCCGCCUCCGCCUCCGCGUCCUCAUCCCCGCUCCGCCGGUUCAGGACCAGGCCGGGUGCUUCAUCAGGCAUACUUCUUGGUGCCACUACUCUGCCUAGUGUCAUGCUUUCACGGUUAAUUCAACUUUAUAGGGUCUUACUAGCCGAUCCUAAUGGACGUGAAGAAUAUGCAUACCUUGAAAUGCAGUACUGGGCAGUAUCUGUUAGCUGCCUCAGCAUGUUAGCAUUUUUUGUUUGGCAUCUACGGCAGUCUCCCAGCAAUGGAAAUUCUAUAGCUUCGAAAUACGGCUUGUUGCUCAUCAUUUUAUAUCCCCUGGCAUACUUGUUUCACCUUUUACUGAAGACUGAUGGAGGUCUGCUGGUGAUGAGUAAUUUGGUGUAUUUGCUGUGUCAUGGAGUGGCUGCUGUGAUCUUAAUCCAGCAUAUUCUAGAGAAGUUCCCUUCAUGUUCAUCUUUUGGGGAGGCCAUUUUGGUCUCAAGUGGUCUUGUUUCUUUACUGUGGUGAUAUGCUGGCUCAUACUCUUUCAAAGAUGGAGUUCUCCGUAUCAUCAGAAGCAUUUAUUCGCGCACCUGGAACUCGAAACGAGAUAGGCACAGUUAUUCAGGGGGUUUUGCUUGGUCUUUUUCUUCUCCCCUUGUUAUACAAAAGCUCCCUUCAAGUUUUGGCUUACUGUAGAAAACUGGAGAGUCAAAGAACACAAACAGUUGAGGAAUGCACACAGAAGAGAAUUGACUGUGGUGUAUUUUAUGUUUCAUUGUUGAUAGCACUAUUGUUGUUAGUGCCAUCAUGGACGCGUCUUAUUCAAGGUUUUGAAGUGCAUCCAUUUGUUUGGGUUUUUAACUAUAUUUUCACCGAUUCACGUGAACGGCUUGCUUUAUGCGCAAACUGGAUAUUUGUGAUAUAUGUAUCAAUUAGAAGGUUCUACAGUAUAUCAAAACAAAGCAAAACGGAGAGGAUUCUUUUGCGCAAGUAUUACCAUCUCGUUGCUGUCCUAAUUUUCUCUCCUGCAGUAAUAUUUCAGCCUGAUUUCUUGGACUUGGCAUUUGGUGCAGCAUUUGCUGUUUUCUUAAUAUUGGAGAUGGUUCGAGUUUGGGAAAUAUACCCUCUUGGGCAUAUUGUGCAUCAGUUCAUGAGUGCUUUCACUGAUCACCGCGAUUCGGAGAUUCUAAUUGUUAGUCAUUUCUCACUCUUGCUGGGAUGUGCACUUCCUAAAUGGAUGUCAUCAGGAUUCAAUGACCGACCUCUUACACCAUUUGCUGGAAUUCUCAGCUUGGGUAUUGGUGAUACCAUGGCAUCAAUGAUAGGUUAUAAGUAUGGUGUCCUAAGAUGGAGCAAGACAGGAAAGAAAACAAUUAAGGGCACAGCAGCAGGCAUAACUUCUGUAUUAGCAGCCUGCUCAAUCCUGCUGUCACUCUUAGCUUCAAGUGGAUACAUACUUUCACAGCAUUGGAUAUCACUUUUGGUAGCUGUGACAUUGAGCGGUUUAUUGGAAGCAUAUACAGCCCAACUCGACAACGCUUUCAUACCCCUUGUCUUCUAUAGCCUCCUAUGUCUAUAGGAGCAACCAGUUGUACAUCAAACUAUACCUUGAGGCCCUAUUCUUACCAUGACUUAUCUAGUGACUAGUGCAGUACAGUAUAGGUAUAGCCCUUCGAAAUUUUUUUUUAAAAUCCUCUUAUUGGUCGCAUUCUCUGUAUUCCUGGACCGAGAAAUUGUGUCCAUUACUAAAAGGUUGAGUUUAGGUUUAGGAAAUAAAGAUGAAAAUAUGAAAGGUUGUUUAGUGAAUCCUUCAGUAGAGAGCAUCUUUGGUAUGAUAGACUUCUGAGCCUAUCUGGAGGCAACAAGGCAUCAAUGUAUCAUGGAAGGUAUGUUGUCUUUCAGAACUAGAACUUCUUCUGCAGGUGGUGAUACCUGUUUCACCCCACAACUCCACAAGCAGUUGGGCAAGAAUAGCAAGCUGAGAGUAAAGCCAUAUGCUGCAAGGAGCCUGAAAUACGGAGACUUGGUUCAGAAUUAAUGUAUAUAUAUAUGCUACCUUAUUUCCAUGGACAUGCGAAGGGUAAUUAGUUGUAGUAGCUAAUCUCCUGUAAGUUUUGCGUCAUCACUGUACGGAGUAAAAGAUAACUACUCAGAUUGCAACCGCGCAUUGAUGUAAAUUUUGUUCUUGACCUGAGAAAAAAUGAAAUCGAAGUAAGCAAAGCUGCAAAUUAAUGUUCUC